GUAACUUUGGAAAAAAUUAUCUGGAUGUUCAUUGAUAUUCAUCCUGAAUAAGGAUUUUGCUGCAGUUUAAGUCUCCUGUUUCUCUUCCAAGUUUCUAAUACUGCUUUUCUAAGAGGUGAGUGGCUUGAUCAGGGUCGGAACUAAUAAUACAGACCCAGGCCUGAGUGCCCAUCAGUAACCAUUUCUGCAAGUUCCUCUCCCUAAGAGGACAAGUGUCCUGAUCAAAGAAGAGGAGGGUAACUUGAUUUUGCAAGCAAAGGGAGAGACCAACGCACAGGGUCCUAGACACAUUUGCGCUGACCUCAAAAAGUUUGGGAGGGGGCAGGGAAGAAGCGGGGAGCUCCGGUACCUUUUUUGGACUCUGAGCUCGGUUAGGUGCAGAACUCAGCGCUCUGUGCUGCCAGACCGAGUCUUCUCCGAAACGGGCAGCCUGGCGGGGAGGCAGGCACACGUCCCUCGCUCUCCGCGAGUCAGCCGCGGAGUCAGCCGAGAGGAGACCCAGGCGCUGGGCGCUGCCUCCUGCUGACCCGCUGCCUGCAGCACCGAAAGAGCCGAGAGCACGCAGGAGCCGCGCGGGACCCGCAAGGGGACCGGCAAUCUGUGCUCCUCUAGAAGCGGAGGAUGGCGAGGAGAGCCCACGAGAAGAAUAAAAGGUCUCAGAAAGCUACAAGCCCCCAGAUCUUCUUUAGACCAAAAUGCUUAAUUGAAAAUAACAUGAAUUCAAGCUCAAAGGCCAUUAAGGAGCAGACCUAUGGACAAAAAAUAUUUUGGAAAACGAUUGCUUCUUCUCCCUUUCCCCAAAGCCCGUCUAGUCAGCUUUUUAUAAAAACAAUAAUGAAGAAUAAGGCAUGCCUGGGUGGCUCAGUCGAUUGAACUUCCCACUUGGGCUCAGGUCAUGAUCUCAUGGUUUGGGAGUUGGAGCCCUGCAUCUGGCUCUCUGCUGUCAGUGUGGAGCCUGCUUCGGAUCCUCUGUUGCUCGCUCUCUUUCUCUCUCUCUCUCUCUCUCUGCCCCUUCCCCACUCAUGUACUCUCUUUCAAAAAUAAAUAAACUUAAAAAAAAUAUUGAAGUAUAGUUGACACAAAGUUAUAUUAGUUUCAGGUGUAC
This 1105-nucleotide long non-coding RNA is filed under the name Suricata suricatta (meerkat). RNAcentral's name for it is "lncRNA (ENSSSUG00005000766.1)". Lineage: Eukaryota; Metazoa; Chordata; Mammalia; Carnivora; Herpestidae. The record is from RNAcentral.